This 96-nucleotide transfer RNA is filed under the name Myxococcota bacterium. Its description in RNAcentral is "tRNA-Sec". It matches the Rfam family "Selenocysteine transfer RNA". Lineage: Bacteria; Pseudomonadati; Myxococcota. The record is from RNAcentral.
GGUAGGGCCUCUGGAUCUGGUGGCCGGCUCGGUCUUCAAAACCGAUGGAGGGGCGCGAAGGCGUUCUUCGGGGGGUUCGAUUCCCCUGCUCUACCG